GAUGAACGCUGGCGGCGUGCCUAAUACAUGCAAGUCGAGCGAACAGACGAGGAGCUUGCUCCUCUGACGUUAGCGGCGGACGGGUGAGUAACACGUGGAUAACCUACCUAUAAGACUGGGAUAACUUCGGGAAACCGGAGCUAAUACCGGAUAAUAUAUUGAACCGCAUGGUUCAAUAGUGAAAGACGGUUUUGCUGUCACUUAUAGAUGGAUCCGCGCCGCAUUAGCUAGUUGGUAAGGUAACGGCUUACCAAGGCAACGAUGCGUAGCCGACCUGAGAGGGUGAUCGGCCACACUGGAACUGAGACACGGUCCAGACUCCUACGGGAGGCAGAAGUAGGGAAUCUUCCGCAAUGGGCGAAAGCUUGACGGAGCAACGCCGCGUGAGUGAUGAAGGUCUUCGGAUCGUAAAACGCUGUUAUUAGGGAAGAACAAAUGUGUAAGUAACUAUGCACGUCUUGACGGUACCUAAUCAGAAAGCCACGGCUAACUACGU
This 496-nucleotide ribosomal RNA is filed under the name uncultured bacterium. RNAcentral's name for it is "partial 16S ribosomal RNA". It matches the Rfam family "Bacterial small subunit ribosomal RNA", at positions 28 to 506 of the family's 1533-position model. The record is from RNAcentral.